CUUCCUUAUAGUUAAUAGUACAUACUUGUACUGACAUUAAAAAGAUAAGCAUUUGAAUAAAGAGGGGACAGGAACAUCCUGAGGUCGAGCGAGGUCAUACAUCCUGUAGAAGUGAGGCCUCUCAGAGCAUGUUACAGAAUACAUCUGCCAAAGUCAGCAUAAUUAUUUCAAACAUUAUUUUAAAGCAUAUAAUGCAAAAAGAGUUAACUACUUCAUAUCCUUACACUGCAUAUGCUGAUAAUUUAAAUUCUAAGUUAUUUAUUUUUAUUCCUUUUAUGUUAAUUUCCUGUCUUAUUUUCUGAAGCAAAGGUUCUAAGGUUAAGAUACACACCAUUGGAGCAAGGGGACAGCCUUGCCUAGUGCCGUUAUUCAUUUUAAAAGUAUUUGUUGAGAAUCCUUGACCUGAGAUUAUUGCAGAUGGAGUGGAGUAUAGUGCCAUUAUGACAUCUGUUAUUAACUUACCAAAGUUAAACUCAUUCAAUACUUAAUUUAGGAAUUGCCAGCUGACCCUGUCAAAGGC
Molecule: non-coding RNA, 520 nt
Organism: Pelobates cultripes (western spadefoot toad)
Lineage: Eukaryota; Metazoa; Chordata; Amphibia; Anura; Pelobatidae
Source: the annotation of a GenBank genome assembly